Molecule: long non-coding RNA, 742 nt
Organism: Conger conger (European conger)
Lineage: Eukaryota; Metazoa; Chordata; Actinopteri; Anguilliformes; Congridae
Exons: 4
Source: RefSeq, a predicted model, not a curated record
AUGCCCCACCCUCUCACUGAUUUCAGAGUACUGUAUAUAGGAACACAUUGUCUGCCUCUUCUCAGUCACCCCCUCUUUUCUGCAGGAAACAGCAGCAGUCACCUCCCUCACAGGUUGCAGCAUAGUACCCUCCCAGUUCUGAAAUGGCACGGCUGACGAUCCUCCAGUGGGGGGCGGUGGUGAGCUUGCUGAGUCUGCUCAUGCGCCAGGCUCAAGGCGAAGGCAUUGUUCCAGCACAACCGCUACCCUCUUUCAGUGACGUGUCCAGUGGAGGACCGUUGACCAAGACACAGUUCCUAGAGGUCAUCAGUAGUUCCCAGUUCAUUGGCUAUUUCCCUGAGGGCGUCAGUGAAGAAUUGGGCAAUGAAUUGAUGAUGGGGUAUGACAAAGAUGGAGAUGAAGAAAUUAACGAAGAGGAGUAUGACGAAUUCUGUGACAGUAUCAGUAUCUCAUUCAAAUAAUUCUGCUAAUUCAUUGCAUGUUUGUAACCAUCAGGCAUAUGUAUAUAAUUAUGUCACUCAACACUGAAUUUUCCCCAUCUAAAUAUUAUUAAAUGUCAUUGCUCUAGAAACCACCUUAUGAACUACUGUAUAAAUUCAGAAAUAGAAACUUUAUAUUCUCAAUGCAACAUGCAAAAAAUGUGCUGUCAUUACUGACACAGGUUUGUUUUUCAUUUUAAGGGUUUAUAACAUGUUUCUGGAUUAUACAUUUGUUAAUGCAUUAAAAAUCUUUAUUCACUAUA